RNAcentral lists this ribosomal RNA (356 nucleotides) under Gyrinus madagascariensis. RNAcentral describes it as "partial 12S ribosomal RNA". Lineage: Eukaryota; Metazoa; Arthropoda; Insecta; Coleoptera; Gyrinidae. The record is from RNAcentral.
UUUAAAUGUAAAUUUUUGAACUAAAUUAGUAAUAGAUAUGAUCUUCAAAUUUAAAGAUUUUGGCGGUAUUUUAGUCUAUUCAGAGGAACCUGUCCCAUAAUUGAUAAUCCACGAUUAACUUUACUUAAUUUUAAAAAUUUGUAUAUCGUUGUUUAUAGAAAAUUUUAUAAGAAAAAUAAUUUUUAAUAAAUUUUAUUAAAUUAUAAAUCAAAUCAAGGUGCAGUUUAUAGUUAAGUUGGAGAUGGGUUACAAUAAAUUUAUUUAUUAAUGAAUAUAAAUUUUAAAAUUUUUAUUGAAGGUGGAUUUGAUUGUAAUAUUAUUAAAUUAAAUAGUAUGAUUUUAGCUCUAAAAUAUGU